AUUGAACGCUGGCGGCAGGCCUAACACAUGCAAGUCGAGCGGAUGAAGGGAGCUUGCUCCUGGAUUCAGCGGCGGACGGGCGAGUAAUGCCUAGGAAUCUGCCUGGCCGUGGGGGAUCACGUCCGGAAACGGGCGCUAAUACCGCAUACGUCCUGAGGGAGAAAUUGAGGGAUCUUCGGACCUCACGCUAUCAGAUGAGCCUAGGUCGGAUUAGCUAGUUGGUGGGGUAAAGGCCUACCAAGGCGACGAUCCGUAACUGGUCUGAGAGGAUGAUCAGUCACACUGGAACUGAGACACGGUCCAGACUCCUACGGGAGGCAGCAGUGGGGAAUAUUGGACAAAGGGCGAAAGCCUGAUCCAGCCAUGCCGCGUGUGUGAAGAAGGUCUUCGGAUUGUAAAGCUCUUUUAGUUGGGAGGAAGGGCAGUAAGUUAAUACCUUGCUGUUUUGACGGUACCAACAGAAUAAGCACCGGCUAACUUCGUG
Molecule: ribosomal RNA, 484 nt
Filed under: uncultured bacterium
Lineage: Bacteria
Description: partial 16S ribosomal RNA
Rfam family: Bacterial small subunit ribosomal RNA
Source: RNAcentral